Molecule: ribosomal RNA, 653 nt
Filed under: uncultured Campylobacterota bacterium
Lineage: Bacteria; Pseudomonadati; Campylobacterota
Description: bacterial SSU rRNA
Rfam family: Bacterial small subunit ribosomal RNA
Source: RNAcentral
GCUUCUUGCUGACGAGUGGCGCACGGGUGAGUAAUAUAUAGGUAACGUGCCUCUAAGAGGGGGAUAGCCACUGGAAACGGUGAUUAAUACCCCAUAUGCCUCUAAAUCAUAAGAUUGCGAGGGAAAUGUUUUUUCGCUUAGAGAUCGGCCUAUAUCCUAUCAGCUAGUUGGUGGUGUAAGAGACCACCAAGGCUAUGACGGGUAGCGGGUUUGAGAGGAUGAUCCGCCACACUGGUACUGAGACACGGACCAGACUCCUACGGGAGGCAGCAGUGAGGAAUAUUGCACAAUGGGGGAAACCCUGAUGCAGCAACGCCGCGUGGAGGAUGACGCAUUUCGGUGUGUAAACUCCUUUUAUAUGUCAAGAAAAUGACGGUAGCAUAUGAAUAAGCGCCGGCUAACUCCGUGCCAGCAGCCGCGGUAAUACGGAGGGCGCAAGCGUUACUCGGAAUCACUGGGCGUAAAGGACGCGUAGGCGGGUUAUCAAGUCAGGUGUGAAAUCCUACAGCUUAACUGUAGAACUGCACUUGAAACUGGUAACCUAGAGUAUGGGAGGGGCAGAUGGAAUUAGUGGUGUAGGGGUAAAAUCCGUAGAUAUCACUAGGAAUACCUAAAGCGAAGGCGAUCUGCUGGAACAUUACUGACGCUAAGGC